CUUGAUGGGGUAAGGCUCCCAGUAGACGACUGGGUUGAUAGGCCGGAUCUGGAAGCACAGUAAUGUGUGGAGGUGACCGGUACUAAUAGGCCGAGGGCUUGUCCUC
Molecule: ribosomal RNA, 106 nt
Filed under: Streptomyces sp. cf386
Lineage: Bacteria; Bacillati; Actinomycetota; Actinomycetes; Kitasatosporales; Streptomycetaceae
Description: Bacterial large subunit ribosomal RNA
Rfam family: Bacterial large subunit ribosomal RNA
Source: Rfam by way of RNAcentral